ACGGGAGGCAGCAGUGGGGAAUAUUGCACAAUGGGGGAAACCCUGAUGCAGCGACGCCGCGUGAGCGAUGAAGUAUUUCGGUAUGUAAAGCUCUAUCAGCAGGGAAGAUAAUGACGGUACCUGACUAAGAAGCCCCGGCUAACUACGUGCCAGCAGCCGCGGUAAUACGUAGGGGGCAAGCGUUAUCCGGAUUUACUGGGUGUAAAGGGAGUGUAGGUGGUUUGGCAAGCCAGAUGUGAAAACCCGGGGCUCAACCCCGCGGACUGCAUUUGGAACUGUUAAACUUGAGUGCAGAAGAGGAAAGUGGAACUCCUAGUGUAGCGGUGAAAUGCGUAGAUAUUAGGAGGAACACCAGUGGCGAAGGCGGCUUUCUGGACUGUAACUGACACUGAGGCUCGAAAGCGUGGGGAGCAAACAGGAUUAGAUACCCUGGUA
This 435-nucleotide ribosomal RNA is filed under the name uncultured Lachnospiraceae bacterium. Its description in RNAcentral is "bacterial SSU rRNA". It matches the Rfam family "Bacterial small subunit ribosomal RNA", at positions 341 to 792 of the family's 1533-position model. Lineage: Bacteria; Bacillati; Bacillota; Clostridia; Lachnospirales; Lachnospiraceae. The record is from RNAcentral.